RNAcentral lists this small RNA (99 nucleotides) under Sinorhizobium meliloti 2011. Its description in RNAcentral is "putative ncRNA". Lineage: Bacteria; Pseudomonadati; Pseudomonadota; Alphaproteobacteria; Hyphomicrobiales; Rhizobiaceae. The record is from RNAcentral.
CUAGACUGAGGAGAAUCCCCAUGCCGAAGGUCGUUGGAAUUGGUGGUGUGUUCUUCAGGGCGGCGGACCCGGCUGGGCUCGCCGAGUGGUACGAGAAGU